Long non-coding RNA from Empidonax traillii (willow flycatcher), 581 nucleotides. RefSeq lists it as uncharacterized. The record is from RefSeq and is a predicted model, not a curated record. The transcript is spliced from 2 exons. Lineage: Eukaryota; Metazoa; Chordata; Aves; Passeriformes; Tyrannidae.
ACCGGCCCCAAACCAGCCCGGGAUGGGCCGGCACCGACCACAUGGCCCUGGCACCGGCCCCGUGGCCCCCAGACUGGCCCCACACUGACCCCACAGCCACGGGACUGGCCCCAAGGCCUGCCCCAAACCGACCCCACAGCCACGGGACUGGCCCCAAACCAGCCCCACGGCGCCAGGGCCAGGGCCACACUGACCCCGUGGACCCCAGCCUGGCCCCACCCCACGGCCACAUGAUCAGCCCCACAAGUGACCCUACAGCCCCAGGAGCAGUCCUAAACCCACUCCAGCCCCCCACUCUCCCCUCAGCCCCCCACAGGCCAUGGAGAUCCCAGGCCCAAGCUCCACCACACCAAAGUGGUGGAGAUGAAGAAGGACCUGGGCAGCAUCUUCCCAGGAGGGAACAGAUUCGGGUCCGCCUGUGGGGUGCCCUGCAGCACCACGUGAGGGGCUGAGCUAUGAGAGCCAAAGGGAAACCCCCCCUUCUGGCUCUUCCCACAGGUGUGAAACACAGCAUGAGUCCACCAGCACCACGGACAGACCCCCGGGAGAGCCAGAGCGAUGGUGGGAACGCGUUCCUUAAG